CCUACGGGUGGCAGCAGUGAGGAAUAUUGGUCAAUGGGCGGGAGCCUGAACCAGCCAAGCCGCGUGAGGGAAGAAGGUACAGCGUAUCGUAAACCUCUUUUGUCAGGGAACAAAGGCGGGGACUAGUCCCCGGAUGAGGGUACCUGAAGAAAAAGCAUCGGCUAACUCCGUGCCAGCAGCCGCGGUAAUACGGAGGGUGCGAGCGUUAAUCGGAAUUACUGGGCGUAAAGCGCUCGUAGGCGGUAUGUCAAGUCAAGGGUGAAAUCCCCGCGCUCAACGUGGGAACUGCCUUUGAAACUGGCAAACUGGAGUGUGUGAGAGGAUAGUGGAAUUCCAGGUGUAGGAGUGAAAUCCGUAGAUAUCUGGAGGAACAUCAGUGGCGAAGGCGACUAUCUGGCACAUAACUGACGCUGAGGAGCGAAAGCGUGGGUAGCAAACAGGAUUAGAUACCCCGGUAGUC
Molecule: ribosomal RNA, 460 nt
Filed under: uncultured bacterium
Lineage: Bacteria
Description: partial 16S ribosomal RNA
Rfam family: Bacterial small subunit ribosomal RNA
Source: RNAcentral